Molecule: long non-coding RNA, 1092 nt
Filed under: Calidris pygmaea (Spoon-billed sandpiper)
Lineage: Eukaryota; Metazoa; Chordata; Aves; Charadriiformes; Scolopacidae
Description: lncRNA (ENSCPGG00000008368.1)
Source: RNAcentral
UCUGGGUCUUGUGUUGGGUGCCAACUUUGGGGGAUGACACCACAGGAUGGGUCCAGCUGAGAGCCCGGGGCUUGACCAUCAGCACCCAGGGCUUUCUCAUGGGCGGCCUCAGUGCUAGGGCCCUCCAGAGAAGGUGGCCAUCCCUGCAGGACCAUCCAUCCCAGUCUUGUGGGGGGUGUAGGGAAUUGAGAUGCUCCCCAUCCUGUGCUUGACUCCAUGAUCAGCUUUUUGGAGGCCAGCUGCCCCUUGUCAUUCUGAUGAGUGAUGUGGUCCUCAGCUCCACAGGGAGGGCCAGAAAGGUGCUGUAGCUCCGGAGAGCAGGCAGGGAAGCCAGACUGGGGUGACAGAGCCAGGACAGCUCUUGGCUGCCAGGGACAGGGGGUGGGCUCUGAAGUUGGGGAGCUGCAGGCAGGUACCUGUCUCACGGGAGUGCAGGCGAAGACACCUAUGGGUGAUGGUCUGGUGUCCCCAUCUGUGGUGGGACAGGCUUGAGGAUGUCAUGCUGAUCCCACCCUCCCUUCUCCUUCAGGGGACCCCAGUGCCAUGAUGAAGCCGCUGGUGUUCAGCCCUGGCUCUGCCGUCCACCUGGAGGCCAGGGUUGACUUCAGUCCUGGCAUCUCCCUGAAGAUCUCUGUGGACCAGUGCUAUGGGACCAGCUCAGAGCAGCUGGGGCGCUCCAGGAGGAUCUUCAUGGUGGUGAACAGCCAGGGGUCAGUUCCCAUUGGGUGGGAGGUGGGAACUGCCUCUCCGGGCACCCCAAGGUCCUGCAAGGCAUUCUGAUGGGGAGGGAUGUCCAGGGCCUGGGGACAGCCUGGGAAUGUCCCUGUGGUGCUCUCCUGGCUCAGGUGCCUGCACGGGCAGAAGCUGGUGACCAUGUCUGUCCAACAUCGGAGAGGGGUGUCUACUCUCCAGCUCACCAUCCCAGCUCCCGUCCUGGAGGAUGAGAUCGAGGAGGAAGAGGUCUACGUGCACUGCCUGCUGACAGCGUGGGGCACCGUGGGCACCCGGGGACAUGGCACCAGGUCCUGCUUCUACAGCCAAGCCACAGACAGGUACGCUCAGCCCUGGCACAGGCUCCCUCAUGGUGGCCCA